ACGCCUAAUACAUGCAAGUCGAACGAAGUAGCAAUACUUAGUGGCAGACGGGUGAGUAACAUGUAGGUAUCUUCCCUUCGGUGAGGAAUAACACGAGGAAACUUGUGCUAAUACCUCAUAAGUCUUUACGGAGAAAGCUUUAUGCGCCGAUGGAUGAGCCUGCACUUGAUUAGUUUGUUGGUAGGGUAAUGGCCUACCAAGACUAUGAUCAAUAGCUGAUUUGAGAGGAUGAUCAGCCACAUUGGGACUGAGACACGGCCCAAACUCCUACGGGAGGCAGCAGUAGGGAAUCUUGCACAAUGGGGGAAACCCUGAUGCAGCGAUGCCGCGUGAGUGAAGAAGGCCUUUGGGUUGUAAAGCUCUUUCGUCGGGGAAGAAAAUGACUGUACCCGAAUAAGAAGGUCCGGCUAACUUCGUGCCAGCAGCCGCGGUAAUACGAAGGGACCUAGCGUAGUUCGGAAUUACUGGGCUUAAAGAGUUCGUAGGUGGUUAAAAAAGUUGGUGGUGAAAUCCCAGAGCUUAACUCUGGAACUGCCAUCAAAACUUUUUAGCUAGAGUAUGAUAGAGGAAAGCAGAAUUUCUAGUGUAGAGGUGAAAUUCGUAGAUAUUAGAAAGAAUACCAAUUGCGAAGGCAGCUUUCUGGAUCAUUACUGACACUGAGGAACGAAAGCAUGGGUAGCGAAGAGGAUUAGAUACCCUCGUAGUCCAUGCCGUAAACGAUGUGUGUUAGACGUUGGAAAUUUAUUUUCUGUGUCGCAGCGAAAGCAAUAAACACACCGCCUGGGGAGUACGAC
Molecule: ribosomal RNA, 794 nt
Filed under: uncultured Pelagibacteraceae bacterium
Lineage: Bacteria; Pseudomonadati; Pseudomonadota; Alphaproteobacteria; Candidatus Pelagibacterales; Candidatus Pelagibacteraceae
Description: bacterial SSU rRNA
Rfam family: Bacterial small subunit ribosomal RNA
Source: RNAcentral